GCCUCUUUAGCUUAGGGGUAGAGCGUUGCACUUGUAUAUUUAUAUAAGUGAUGCAAAGGUCAGCGGUUCAAUUCCGCUAGGAGGCA
RNAcentral lists this transfer RNA (86 nucleotides) under Sugiyamaella lignohabitans. RNAcentral describes it as "Candida lignohabitans tRNA". It matches the Rfam family "tRNA". From Rfam's summary of the family: Transfer RNA (tRNA) molecules are approximately 80 nucleotides in length. Lineage: Eukaryota; Fungi; Ascomycota; Dipodascomycetes; Dipodascales; Trichomonascaceae. The record is from Rfam by way of RNAcentral.